GCUUGUCUCAAAGAUUAAGCCAUGCAUGUCUAAGUAUAAACAACUUUAUACUGUAAAACUGCGAACGGCUCAUUAUAUCAGCAAUAAUUUAUUUGAUGGUUUCUUACCCCAUGGAUAACUGUGGUAAUUCUAGAGCUAAUACAUGCGAAAAAUCUCGACUCACGGAGAGAUGCUUUUAUUAGAUCAAAACCAAACGGCUUCGGCCGUCUCAUUGGUGACUCUGAAUAACUUUGGGCUGAUCGUAUGGCCUUGUGCCGACGACGUUUCCUUCGAAGGUGUGCCCUAUCAACUGUCGACUGUGAUAUAGACGCUCACAGUGGUUUUGACGGGUAACGGGGAAUCAGGGUUCGAUUCCGGAGAGGGAGCCUUAAAAACGGCUACCACAUCCAAGGAAGGCAGCAGG
Molecule: ribosomal RNA, 403 nt
Filed under: Crustacea environmental sample
Lineage: Eukaryota; Metazoa; Arthropoda
Description: partial small subunit ribosomal RNA
Rfam family: Eukaryotic small subunit ribosomal RNA
Source: RNAcentral